Molecule: long non-coding RNA, 2224 nt
Organism: Bubalus bubalis (water buffalo)
Lineage: Eukaryota; Metazoa; Chordata; Mammalia; Artiodactyla; Bovidae
Exons: 3
Source: RefSeq, a predicted model, not a curated record
CCUCCCGGUCCACCCAGACCCGGGCGAGGCCGGGCGCCGGUCGUUCCGGCCCCUCUGAGCGGGUGACGCCGGCUGCCGGGAGACGCUAGGGGAGAGGAGGGGCCGUGCGGCUCCGUCGCCGCGACGCGCGCGGUUCCGCGUCCUUCCGCUCUGCGGCGGGGACGCGGGGUACGUGGUGGAAGGCGGAGGUCGCGUUCGGCCCUGGGCCUGCCCUGGGCUCGUGACAAGGGGUUUGAAAAUGAUGGAGCCGCUGGGACGGCGGGCGUGGGGGAGGGGUUGGAGGGUGACGGUAUUUCUGCGCUGGGGGACGGGGCUUUGACAGUGAAAAUAAUGGAAGUGUAAAUCUGAAACCCUAAAUCAGGGAAUAUGAGGGGAACCUUGGUGUACCCCUGCGGUGGAAUACUGCGUGGUCUUAAUUAAAAGGAAAGAAAAGAAAGCCUGUCUUCUGCCAAGUAAAAAUAAGGCACAGGACUCAGUCUAUAAAUACAUACUUAUGCUAUAUAUAUGUAAUAAGUGAUAUAUAUAAUAUACAUAUUUGUAUAUAAGCUGUAUUGUUAUGCAAAUAAAGAUAAUUUUUUUUUACUAUUGUGUAGAAAAAUGACAGGAAUACACUUAAAUACCCUUAUGUACAUAGUCUGAAAGGACACAACUGGGACCAAGGGUCAGAGGGAAUAUAGUUGGGGGGAGAUAUACUUUUCACUGAAUUUUUCGAUUUCAGUUUGGAUUUUUCAGUGCUCAUGAAUUACCUAUUGAAAAAUGCACUCAAAAGAACACAGUGACUUCUUCAUUCAUUCAACUAACACCAACCCUUGAUGCGCUCUGGGAGCCCUGUGAUCCUUGUGAAAUGGUUUACUUGAAGAGUCAAAAUGGAAUGAUCGAAAAUUCACAUCCUUAAUCAAAGUGUGUGCAGGUGAGUGAAGAAAGUUUCUUUCCUAUGUUGUUGUUCAGUUGCUCAGUCGUAUCUGACUCUUUUCGAGCACACCCAGCUUCCCUGUCCUUCACCAUCUCCCGGAGCUUGCUCAAACUUUGUAUGUAGGUUAGUUUUUUAAAUCAGUGGACUUAACAUUAAUGAUAGAAUGGGAUCUAUGUAGGUGCGUGAAUGAGAGAAACAAUGAAUAUUAGAAUAAUAAUAAGCUCAUUUUAUAAAAUCAUGGAUUAAAAAUAUUACAUAAACUAUUUUGAAUUAAUACGAAAUUUAAAAGCAAAUUAAAAACCAAAAUUGUGUUCUUAAAUUACCCACUUUUCUAAGUCCUUAACAGUGGCCUGGGGAAAGGCCCUAUAUUGGAUUCCAAGAGGUCUAAAUUAUAGUCUUUCUUGCCACCAACAAGCUGACCCUGAGAAUUUUUGUCAUAUACUCAAUAGAAAUAAUAAUUCCAGUUGCUAAUAGAAUUGCUGGGAGGUAGAUGUGAGGGAACUCUGAAAAGUACAUUAUUCCUGGUAGAAAGUCUACAUACCAAAUCUCAGUUGAAUGAUUUUCUGCAAAUGUAUCUAAGUACAUUAGAAGACUGACCCUUACAGAACCAUAUUAACGUCAGCAAUAUUUUACUCUCUGCAUUGCUGGGUUUUGUCAGCAGAGACUAGACCAUGCAGUUACUUCAAACCCUUCCCUCCACUUAUCCUUGCUAUGUUCUAUGUCCUGUGUUUAUUGGUAGGGAUCCUUAUUUUGGAAAAGUCAGGAUCAUUAUAAGAAUGAGGAACCAUGAGGCGAAUACCUCAUGUAGAGUGAAGAGAGAACCAAUUACCACUCCCAUGAGUACUUCAAUUUAUUUUAAUCAUUACCCAUAAAGGUCUUUAAAUUUUGAUAAAGGGAAAACCAUUUCUCUCCAUUUCUGAGGACAUGAUAAGCUAGCUAUGUCCCAAUGGGAGGUGUGGACACAGAAAACCUUCUGUCACUGAUAUCUUUUGUUAGAGAUGGGUGCCAGGAACUAUGAGAUCACAUUUCAACCUUCUUCCACCUCCCCUUCCUCCUGUAUCAGAAAGAUCCCCUGGAGAAAGGAAUGACAACCCACUCCAGUAUUUUGCCUGGAGAAUUCCAUGGACUGAGGAGCCUGGCAUGCUGCAGUCCUUGGGGUCUCAAAGAGUCUGGACAUGACUGAGUGACUAACACUAUCCUCCUGCAUACUCUUUAUCUCUGCAUCUAGCGAUCUCAUUAUCAGAAUUUUCAACACGUGGAGUGAGAGAGGAAAACGAUAUCAAAGAAUCACAUUUUCACUUCUAAAAUGGA